This 301-nucleotide ribosomal RNA is filed under the name uncultured bacterium. Its description in RNAcentral is "partial 16S ribosomal RNA". It matches the Rfam family "Bacterial small subunit ribosomal RNA", at positions 509 to 807 of the family's 1533-position model. The record is from RNAcentral.
CAGUCGCCGCGGUAAUACGAAGGGUGCAAGCGUUACUCGGAAUUACUGGGCGUAAAGCGUGCGUAGGUGGUUGUUUAAGUCUGCUGUGAAAGCCCUGGGCUCAACCUGGGAAUUGCAGUGGAUACUGGGCAACUAGAGUAAGGUAGAGGAUAGUGGAAUUUCCGGUGUAGCAGUGAAAUGCGUAGAGAUCGGAAGGAACAUCUGUGGCGAAGGCGACUAUCUGGGCCAUUACUGACACUGAGGCACGAAAGCGUGGGGAGCAAACAGGAUUAGAGACCCCCGUAGUCCCUGUCUCUUAUAC